This 387-nucleotide ribosomal RNA is filed under the name uncultured eukaryote. RNAcentral describes it as "partial 18S ribosomal RNA". It matches the Rfam family "Eukaryotic small subunit ribosomal RNA", at positions 592 to 976 of the family's 1831-position model. The record is from RNAcentral.
CAAUAGCGUAUAUUAAAGUUGUUGCAGUUAAAAAGCUCGUAGUUGGAUUUCUGAUCGAGACAUCAGGUCGGGUCCGAGAGGAUCAUGUACUUUGAUUUGUUUUGAUCAUCCUUGGGGAGAGCAUUUCUGGCAUUCAGUUGUCGGGAUUGGGAUCCUCAUCGUUUACUGUGAAAAAAUUAGAGUGUUCAAAGCAGGCCUCGGCCUCUGAAUACAUUAGCAUGGAAUAAUAAGAUAGGACUUUGGUGGUCUAUUUUGUUGGUUUGCGCGCCAAAGUAAUGAUUAAUAGGGAUAGUUGGGGGUAUUCGUAUUCAAUUGUCAGAGGUGAAAUUCUUGGAUUUAUGGAAGACGAACUACUGCGAAAGCAUUUACCAAGGAUGUUUUCAUUAA